CCUACGGGAGGCAGCAGUAGGGAAUAUUGUUCAAUGGGGGAAACCCUGAUGCAGCAACGCCGCGUGGAGGAUGAAGGUCUUCGGAUUGUAAACUCCUUUCGUUGGAGAAGAUAAUGACGGUAUCUAACGAAUAAGCACCGGCUAACUCCGUGCGAGCAGGCGCGGUAAUACGGAGGGUGCAAGCCUUAGUCGUAACGACUGGGCGUAAAGAGAGCGUAGGCGGGAUAGCAAGUCAGAUGUGAAAUCCUAGGGCUUAACCAUAGAACUGCAUUUGAAACUGGUAUUCUAGAGUAUGGGAGAGGUAGGUAGAAUUCUUGGUGUAGGGGUAAAAUCCGUAGAGAUCAAGAGGAAUACUCAUUGCGAAGGCGACCUGCUAGAACAUAACUGACGCUGAUGCGCGAAAGCGUGGGGAGCAAACAGGAUUAGAUACCCCUGUAGUC
Molecule: ribosomal RNA, 440 nt
Filed under: uncultured bacterium
Lineage: Bacteria
Description: partial 16S ribosomal RNA
Rfam family: Bacterial small subunit ribosomal RNA
Source: RNAcentral